CCUACGGGCGGCAGCAGUGGGGAAUAUUGGACAAUGGGGGCAACCCUGAUCCAGCCAUGCCGCGUGUGUGAAGAAGGCCCUCGGGUUGUAAAGCACUUUCAGUGAGGAAGAACGCCUGGUGGUUAAUACCCAUCAGGAAAGACAUCACUCACAGAAGAAGCACCGGCUAACUCCGUGCCAGCAGCCGCGGUAAUACGGAGGGUGCGAGCGUUAAUCGGAAUUACUGGGCGUAAAGCGCGCGUAGGUGGCUUGAUAAGCCGGUUGUGAAAGCCCCGGGCUCAACCUGGGAACGGCAUCCGGAACUGUCAAGCUAGAGUGCAGGAGAGGAAGGUAGAAUUCCCGGUGUAGCGGUGAAAUGCGUAGAGAUCGGGAGGAAUACCAGUGGCGAAGGCGGCCUUCUGGACUGGCACUGACACUGAGGUGCGAAAGCGUGGGUAGCAAACAGGAUUAGAUACCCCAGUAGUC
RNAcentral lists this ribosomal RNA (465 nucleotides) under Vreelandella stevensii. RNAcentral's name for it is "partial 16S ribosomal RNA". It matches the Rfam family "Bacterial small subunit ribosomal RNA", at positions 338 to 795 of the family's 1533-position model. Lineage: Bacteria; Pseudomonadati; Pseudomonadota; Gammaproteobacteria; Oceanospirillales; Halomonadaceae. The record is from RNAcentral.